RNAcentral lists this ribosomal RNA (441 nucleotides) under uncultured bacterium. RNAcentral describes it as "partial 16S ribosomal RNA". It matches the Rfam family "Bacterial small subunit ribosomal RNA", at positions 338 to 795 of the family's 1533-position model. The record is from RNAcentral.
CCUACGGGAGGCAGCAGUGGGGAAUAUUGCACAAUGGGGGGAACCCUGAUGCAGCGACGCCGCGUGAGUGAAGAAGUAUUUCGGUAUGUAAAGCUCUGUCAGCAGGGAAGAAGAAAGACGGUACCUGACCAAGAAGCCCCGGCUAACUACGUGCCAGCAGCCGCGGUAAUACGUAGGGGGCAAGCGUUAUCCGGAUUUACUGGGUGUAAAGGGAGCGUAGACGGCAGGGCAAGUCUGGAGUGAAAGGCAGGGGCCCAACCCCUGGACUGCUCUGGAAACUGUCCGGCUGGAGUGCAGGAGAGGUAAGUGGAAUUCCUAGUGUAGCGGUGAAAUGCGUAGAUAUUAGGAGGAACACCAGUGGCGAAGGCGGCUUACCGGUGCACAACUGACGCUCAGGCACGAAAGCGUGGGUAUCGAACAGGAUUAGAUACCCCUGUAGUC